UCGUAGCUCAAUUGGAUAGAGUAUCUGACUUCGGAUCAGAGGGUUGAAGGUUCGAGUCCUUCCGGGC
Molecule: transfer RNA, 67 nt
Filed under: marine eukaryotic metagenome
Rfam family: tRNA
About the family: Transfer RNA (tRNA) molecules are approximately 80 nucleotides in length.
Source: RNAcentral